Molecule: ribosomal RNA, 119 nt
Filed under: Pteropus alecto (black flying fox)
Lineage: Eukaryota; Metazoa; Chordata; Mammalia; Chiroptera; Pteropodidae
Also listed under: 1 other name
Source: RNAcentral
GUAUACAGUCAUGCCACCCUGAACAUGCCCAAUCCCGUCUGAUCUUGGAAGCUAAGUAGGGUUGGGCCUGGUAAGUACUUGGAUAGGAGACCACCUUGGAAUACUAGGUGCUGUAGGUG